UUUUUUNNNNNNUUUCGUACGAUUCCCUUGAGUUGAUCAUGGCUCAAGCGAACGCUGGCGGCGUACUUAACACAUGCAAGUCGAACGAGGAUCGUCGGGUUAGCAAUAAUUCGGCGGUUCUAGUGGCGCACGGGUGAGUAACACGUGGGUAACCUGCCCUUGAGUUCGGGAUACCCCCUCGAAAGGGGGGCUAAUACCGGGUACGGUCCUCGGGUCGAAAGGUCUGGGGAAGAAAGGUGGCGCAAGCUGCCGCUCUUGGAGGGGCUCGCGGCCUAUCAGCUAGUUGGCGGGGUAACGGCCCACCAAGGCUAUGACGGGUAGCUGGUCUGAGAGGACGACCAGCCACACGGGGACUGAGACACGGCCCCGACUCCUACGGGAGGCAGCAGUGGGGAAUUUUCCGCAAUGGGCGAAAGCCUGACGGAGUGACGCCGCGUGUGGGACGAAGGCCUUCGGGUCGUAAACCACUGUCAGUGGGAAAGAUNGGGUGCCGGCGCGAUAACCGCCGGCAUCUGACGGUACCUGCAGAGGAAGCCCCGGCCAACUCUGUGCCAGCAGCCGCGGUAAGACAGAGGGGGCAAGCGUUGCUCGGAAUUACUGGGCGUAAAGUGUGCGCAGGCGGCCGCGCAAGUCGAGUGUGAAAUCCCCGGGCUUAACUUGNGAAUUGCGCUCGAAACUACGUGGCUGGAGUGUGGCAGAGGAAGGUGGAAUUCACGUGUAGCGGUGAAUGCGUAGAGAUGUGGAGGACACCGAUGGCGAAGCAGCCUCUGGGCACACUGAGCUCAUC
This 787-nucleotide ribosomal RNA is filed under the name uncultured bacterium. RNAcentral's name for it is "bacterial SSU rRNA". It matches the Rfam family "Bacterial small subunit ribosomal RNA", at positions 1 to 751 of the family's 1533-position model. The record is from RNAcentral.